This 464-nucleotide ribosomal RNA is filed under the name uncultured bacterium. RNAcentral describes it as "partial 16S ribosomal RNA". It matches the Rfam family "Bacterial small subunit ribosomal RNA", at positions 28 to 507 of the family's 1533-position model. The record is from RNAcentral.
AUUGAACGCUGGCGGCAGGCCUAACACAUGCAAGUCGAGCGGAUGAAGGGAGCUUGCGCCUGGAUUCAGCGGCGGACGGGUGAGUAAUGCCUAGGAAUCUGCCUGGUAGUGGGGGAUAACGUCCGGAAACGGGCGCUAAUAACGCAUACGUCCUGAGGGAGAAAGUGGGGGAUCUUCGGACUUGGCGGUAUCGGAUGAGCCUAGGUCGGAUUAGCUAGUUGGUGGGGUAAUGGCCUACCAAGGCGAUGAUGGGUAGCUGGCCUGAGAGGGUGACCGGUCACAUUGGUCCUGCGGGAGGGCCCAGAGUGCAACGGGAGGCAGCGGUGGGGAAUAUUGCCCAAUGGGCGGAAGCCUGAUGCAGCGACGCCGCGUUCGGGAUGACGGUCUUCGGGGUGGAAACCGCUUUAGCCUGUGACGAAGCGUGAGUGACGGUAAUGGGUAAAGAAGCACCGGCUAACUACGUG